GAGAUGUAUUCAAAUACAGACACUAAAUAGAGCAUAUGCUAGAACCAUCUAAUAGUCAGUCAUGAAUGGUUCUAGUUAGUGAAAUUUCUGUGACCACUAUCUUAUUUAAUUUCCCAUUUGACUCCUAACAAUUUGUUUUAGAAAUUUUAUGUAUACAACUAAAUUCUAAAGCUAGUAACCAGAGUGGGCUAACUCUUGACUUUAUUUACUUGUGCUGCAUUUCACUCAUUAUUGGGCAUCUUGGCUUUGUUCGGCCUAUUUAAAACUGGUUGUUAAGUUCAGAGCAUGUUAUCGGUGGCACUGAUCUCUCAAAAGGAACCUGAUGAUGACUCAAUAAAACUUGAAGAAAGGACAGCCCAAUGGAAAAAGAGACUGGCUAAAUAGGCCUUGCUUACUAGUGUAUCAUGUACCAGGUCUGCAAAUAUUUUAUUUAAACCAUCAGAGAGAAAAUAGACUUGUAUAUCUGCGGUAAGGAGUUCAAUAAAGACUGUUCCAGGAUUCUCAAUGCAAUGAGUGAC
Molecule: long non-coding RNA, 518 nt
Filed under: Fukomys damarensis (Damara mole-rat)
Lineage: Eukaryota; Metazoa; Chordata; Mammalia; Rodentia; Bathyergidae
Description: lncRNA (ENSFDAG00000027822.1)
Source: RNAcentral